This 95-nucleotide ribosomal RNA is filed under the name uncultured bacterium. RNAcentral describes it as "partial 16S ribosomal RNA". It matches the Rfam family "Bacterial small subunit ribosomal RNA", at positions 395 to 508 of the family's 1533-position model. The record is from RNAcentral.
UGCCGCGUGUGUGAAGAGGUUCUUCGGAUUGUAAGCACUUUCGACGGGGACGAUGAUGACGGUACCCGUAGAAGAAGCCCCGGCUAACUUCGUGC